CACCUGCGUGGCGUUGGGGUUCCGCCAGAACCGCACGCGGCCUGGCCGCUGCUGAUGACUCCUACGAAUCG
RNAcentral lists this non-coding RNA (71 nucleotides) under Terriglobus roseus. Its description in RNAcentral is "Fluoride sequence". It matches the Rfam family "Fluoride riboswitch aptamer (crcB RNA motif)". The record is from RNAcentral. Lineage: Bacteria; Pseudomonadati; Acidobacteriota; Terriglobia; Terriglobales; Acidobacteriaceae. RNAcentral also lists the same sequence under 1 other name.